This 522-nucleotide ribosomal RNA is filed under the name uncultured bacterium. Its description in RNAcentral is "bacterial SSU rRNA". It matches the Rfam family "Bacterial small subunit ribosomal RNA", at positions 8 to 523 of the family's 1533-position model. The record is from RNAcentral.
AGAGUUUGAUCCUGGCUCAGAUUGAACGCUGGCGGCAUGCCUUACACAUGCAAGUCGAACGGCAGCACGGGAGCAAUCCUGGUGGCGAGUGGCGAACGGGUGAGUAAUAUAUCGGAACGUGCCCAGUCGUGGGGGAUAACGCAGCGAAAGCUGUGCUAAUACCGCAUACGAUCUCUGGAUGAAAGCGGGGGACUCGCAAGAGCCUCGCGCGAUUGGAGCGGCCGAUAUCAGAUUAGCUAGUUGGUGGGGUAAAAGCCCACCAAGGCGACGAUCUGUAGCUGGUCUGAGAGGACGACCAGCCACACUGGAACUGAGACACGGUCCAGACUCCUACGGGAGGCAGCAGUGGGGAAUUUUGGACAAUGGGCGCAAGCCUGAUCCAGCAAUGCCGCGUGCAGGAUGAAGGCCUUCGGGUUGUAAACUGCUUUUGUACGGAACGAAACGGCUCUUUCUAAUAAAGAGAGCUAAUGACGGUACCGUAAGAAGAAGCCCCGGCUAACUUCGUGCCAGCAGCCGCGGUAA